RNAcentral lists this ribosomal RNA (460 nucleotides) under uncultured bacterium. Its description in RNAcentral is "partial 16S ribosomal RNA". It matches the Rfam family "Bacterial small subunit ribosomal RNA", at positions 338 to 795 of the family's 1533-position model. The record is from RNAcentral.
CAGACGGGGGACUGCAGUGAGGAAGAGGGGUCAAUGGGCGGAAGCCUGAACCAGCCAAGUCGCGUGAGGGAAUAAGGCCCUACGGGUCGUAAACCUCUUUUGCCGGGGAGCAAGGGCCGGGACGAGUCCCGGUCCGGAGAGUACCCGGAGAAAAAGCAUCGGCUAACUCCGUGCCAGCAGCCGCGGUAAUACGGAGGAUGCGAGCGUUAUCCGGAGUUAUUGGGUUUAAAGGGUGCGUAGGCGGGCUUUUAAGUCAGCGGUAAAAAUUCGGGGCUCAACCCCGUCCGGCCGUUGAAACUGGGGGCCUUGAGUGGGCGAGAAGAAGGCGGAAUGCGUGGUGUAGCGGUGAAAUGCAUAGAUAUCACGCAGAACCCCGAUUGCGAAGGCAGCCUUCCGGCGCCCUACUGACGCUGAGGCACGAAAGUGCGGGGAUCGAACAGGAUUAGAUACCCCAGUAGUC